This 422-nucleotide ribosomal RNA is filed under the name uncultured bacterium. Its description in RNAcentral is "bacterial SSU rRNA". It matches the Rfam family "Bacterial small subunit ribosomal RNA", at positions 360 to 773 of the family's 1533-position model. The record is from RNAcentral.
AAUUUUUCGCAAUGGGAGAAACCCUGACGAAGCAACGCCGCGUGGAGGAUGAAGGCCUUCGGGUCGUAAACUCCUGUCGACCGGGACGAACGUAGUCGGGUCCAAUACACCCGGCUAUCGACUGUACCGGUGGAGGAAGCCACGUCUAACUCUGUGCCAGCAGCCGCGGUAAUACAGAGGUGGCAAGCGUUGUUCGGAUAUACUGGGCGUAAAGCGCACGUAGGCGGCGCCGUAAGUCAGGGGUGAAAUCCCGGAGCUCAACUCCGGAACUGCCCUUGAAACUGCAGUGCUAGAAUCCUGGAGAGGCGAGUGGAAUUCCGAGUGUAGAGGUGAAAUUCGUAGAUAUUCGGAAGAACACCAGUGGCGAAGGCGACUCGCUGGACAGGUAUUGACGCUGAGGUGCGAAAGCGUGGGGAGCAAAC